UUGGUAAAGGGGUGACCCCUGGCUUCACGCAUGAAAUGAAGGGAUUAUGCCUAAACCCCAAUUCCUUUUCUUCUCUUCCAACGGCAGCAGUGGUUCCAUUCACACUGAUAGAGGAAACCAGUGACGAUGGACAAAGCUUAUGUGGACGAAGGUCGAUAUCUUUGGCAUAGAAUCACUCAUACCCGCGGUGGAUUAGAGGAACCAAAGAGAAUCAUCUUCUCUUCUCCGCGACGACUUUGAUUCGGACCAGUGGAGGGAGACGAUGGUGGCCAAAGAGAUUUCAACGGCUGAAACUAAGCCAUCCAAGGAACCAUGAUGAUGACUCGAUUGAUGAAUGUGGCAACCGCGAUGGGAACCACUGGUUAUCAUGGAGGUUUGAAAAAAAGGUAAUCAUCUUCUACAUUUUACUUUCUUUAGUCGUGAACCCUUAUCCUUUGCUAUAUGUUUUUAAUUUAUUUCUUAUAGCUUGUCGCUCUCAUAAAGGCUUAUUAAGGUAAAGGAAGAAGGUGUAUGGUGGACGGCUUGGGUUAUCACCGGUGGGAGAAGGUUGUGAUUCGUGGCCAUCGAGUCUUCUUCUCCAUUCUCCUCGUCUUGCUUGGGGUUCAUUUCCAGUCGAGCUAAUCUGUUCCUUAUGUGGAUAGCUUCAACGACGGGGAUGGCUAUGGUUGUCUCCCCUUCCCAUGUUAAUCCAAGUCGGUCCAAGCUUGUAAAGGACAUAGAAAUGUCUUUCAAGAUGUUUCGGUCACCACAUCGAGGCGACAAGCAGUGCUGCGAGAGAUAUGAUGCCUCUGACUGUAAUUAGAGGCUAGGUUGUUCGAAGUUCAUUUGAUAUAUAUGACAUAAAGUGGAUAUAGAUGUAUUUGCUGAUAGUUGUUUAGAUGGAUAGAAUGAAAUGCUUACCUGAAAGUACACCUUUAGUUUUAUCCUUUAAACUUGGAAUUUUUGUUUCUGGAUAUUCCUGGCACCCUCCAUGACUUGAAUUCUUCACUCCUUUUGGUACCUCUGAUUGCUUCUCCUUUAUGUUCUAAAUGUUGUGUUCUAUGAUUGCGUGAUAUCUAGCAGAUGCUUGUGUAUAAUAUACGUUCUUGUCUUCUCUGUUGUGUUCAUAUGGAAUGAUGAAAUGUAGUCAAUAUGUUAUGUGUAUAGGUUGUUCUCUCAUUGCUAUGUGAUAUAUUGUAUGAUAAGUGUAUGAUGUAUUCUCUUGUUACUUGUGAUCUCCAUGUGUAAUCUCCUUUAUAUAGCUGGUGAUGGGUCUUUUAUUGAUUUGUGGAACCCCUUGGGUUACCAAGAAAUGUAACGUACCCUGAUUAUUCCCUUUUAAGGCAGCCCAUUACUGCUACCAAUUAUGUUGAUUGUAACUGACAUGACAAUAACUCUAAUUUGAUUAACUACCUCCCAUGUAUAACUCUUGGCUGAGUUCUAACUGAAAGGAGAGAUGCCAACAGCCAAGAAUCCUUGUUAACAUCCUCUCAAUUGCUUCUUUUGAAAUUCCUCUAUUGUGAUUCUCAAUUGAUUCCUCAUUGAAUUAAUCUGAAUAUCAUUUCAUGACUGACCCAAUGUGUGACUACUUGUAAAAGAAAUCUGAUCUCUAAACUCUCUUUGCAGGAACUAAUCGCGGAGACAUCACUGCUACCGCUAGAGAUAUUAGGAUCAUUCUUGUUGAAGGACAUAAGUUUAUGUGAUGUGAUGUGCACCUUCUUUGGUGACUAGAGCAUUAACACUUUCAGAGAUAUUCUUCAACACCUUGCCACUACUCCAUGGGUCCAAUAGGCCAUUUGAGAAAAUGAUAUUGCUUCUGAAUUUCUUCAAAGUGGCAAGAAUAUUAUGACUACUACAUUCCGUGUGAUCCAUCAUGGCCUUGACUUCAGUGUUAAAUAUUUCCUGAUGAUUGGUGAAAUACCAAUCCUAGGAUCUUAAUAUCAUGAUUCUCACACAUAAUAUAAAACAAGGAUAUAAAGCCAUACCUGAAUCCUUGAAUCUAUGUUCUCUGAUCUACUCCUUUGAUAUACCUUUUGAGAGAGUUUUGGUAUGACGGUCUUCCUCAACCAAAUCCUUAAUUUCUUUUGGGACCUUUGUUUUCUCUCUGAUGGGGAGAUGUGAAAAUUAUUUGCGAUUUGGUGUAUUGGGGACCAUAACCUUCCUAUUGUGUUAACUUAUAGGGUUCCGAUUAUCCCAUAUAGGUUAACCUGAUGGGUAACUAAUAAUUAGAUCACUUAUAAUGUAACCCCCGAAAUAAAUGGUUGAUAUCAUUGUAUCAAAUAUAUGAUGCUCACCUUAAGUAGAAAUUAUAAAUUUCUAACAAUCUCCCACUUGGGCUUCAUAUCUUCCUGAUACAAUUAUAUCACAGGUUCUUUAGGUGCGCAUCCAUAUACUAUUUACAUUUGACUUCUCUUUAAUACAAUAUGGUCCAUCUCAUAUAUUAAUUAUGGAACCGCCACGACUUUCAUAACAUGCUAG
RNAcentral lists this long non-coding RNA (2457 nucleotides) under Lupinus angustifolius (narrow-leaved blue lupine). Its description in RNAcentral is "long non-coding RNA (LANG_LNC002202)". Lineage: Eukaryota; Viridiplantae; Streptophyta; Magnoliopsida; Fabales; Fabaceae. The record is from RNAcentral.